UAUAAAAGCAACUUCUGAUCCCUGAUGAAAAAGCAAAGGCACCUCUCAAGGAUCCUGCAGUUUGACCUCAAGCACUUUGUAGCAUGGAGCUGGUCCAAUGAGCAUGUCCCUUCUGAACAAAGUCAGCAAUGGCUUUGGAUGGGACCACCUGCAAAGAUGGCAGGGAUGAUAAGAAUGAUAAGAAUCAGUUUACCUGAUUCUUAAACAAUUCUUCCUUUUUUUUUUUUUUUUUUUUUGGCUGCACCUGAGGCAUAUAGAAGUUCCCAGGCCAGGGGCUGAAUUCAAGCUGCAGCUGCGACCAAUGCCACAGCUGCAGCACCAUCGGCUCCUUAACCCACUGCACUGGGCUGGGGAUAGAACCCAAGCCUCAGCAGUGACCCGAGCUACUGCAGAGACUAUGCUGGAUCCUUAAUCUACUGAGCCACCAGGGAACUCCAAGUGGGAUCUUAAUAUUCUUUAAUGAUCUUUAAAAGGUUGUGUUCAACUUCAUGGAAAACUGGAGGAAACAUUUUUCCCCUGGAGGAAACUUUUAUUUCUGCUCUUGCCUCAUUGAUCGCAUCUCCUAUGACGCUCUCCACCCCCACCUCUGAUUCUUACUCUGCUUCAUUCACUCUGGCUUCCCAGCAACAGCACCCACCUACCCCAGGGCCUUUGUACAUGCUCUUGGCUCUGCCAGAACCCUCUUCUUCCAGAUACCCACAUGGCUCCCUCACCUUCUUUAGGUCCUUCUUUCCACUGUCACCUUCAGAGUGAGGCCUUUCUUGACCACCUUCUACACCAUUUAGCAUUUGGAUUUUCAGCAUUUCCAAACUCACAUUGAAAAAUAACAGCUGUACUGAGUUAGAAUUCACAUACUAUAACCAAGAUACUAGUUUUAAAGACAUUCAUCUUUACCUCCUCUGGUUUUAUGGAUUGUACUGAGUGAGUUCUAAAAUGCCUCGUUUUCAUGUUUCUGACAUCAGGAUGCAUCUUACAAGGAUGGCGUGCCCGUUUAAGGAGCAGUGUUUUACUUUUUUCUUUCGUAGCCGUACGUAAAAUAAUGCACCAAGGGCAUCUUUGCCUUGAUGAACUAUGGCAUCUAAAGUUCCCAUCACCUUUUAUUCCAAGGAGCUCAGAGUACAGGCUUCGGCUGGACUUGUUGAUGAAGACAUAAAUUACAUUAUUAAGCUGCAAUAGAAAGAGAUUGCUUUUGGAGGGAGCACUGAUCCUGCAGUGGCUUCUAAGUUCAUCUGGGCUGGAGGGUGGGAAACGUUUUUGUUAAUUGAUCAGUCCUGCUCUUCUGUUUAGAAUCUUUUCCUUGUCUUCCUUCCUGUGUCUCUCUCUCUAAUGCUUGCCAGGGGAUUUCUUUUCUGUGGCGAAUGUUAAAAACCAUCAUCAUGAAAAACCUUCACAGUGACUCAGUCUUUGAAAACUGACAUCAAGGUGAAUGUCUCGUGGAAAUUUGGGGCUCGCUGGGCUGCCACGGGCCGUUUGCAUUUAAACAAGCUGUGACUUUGAUUUAAGGAUUUGACUUGAUAGGUAAUAUAUCCAAAGCAGGAGGUGAUGUAUAUACUGUUUCCAUCAGAAAUAUCAAGUUCGCUGUGUGAUGUGUUUAUUUCUCUGAGUGGUUAUGUAUUUAAUAAAUAAUGUGUUUCAGUGGGUAUUAUUUUCAUUUCAGUCUUUAAUACCUCCACAAUAUGUCUCAGUUUUUUUUGGGGGGGUGAAUGACACCUCAUAAAUUACGAGCUGUUAUUAGCUGCUUUCUCCUUGCAUCUUAAUUACUAGGCUGAAAAGAGAGGGCAGACUUUUAUAAGCGUUCAUAUUUUCUGUUUACAAGGCUUUUACUGACGUCUAAUAAAUUUAAUUACCUCUAAUAAGAAGAGGAAAUGAAGUUCUAUUUAGCAAAUUCAUAGCUUUGAAAUGCAUCUUGCAGCUUUAUGAGCAUGGCAAAAGCUCCAGGAAGGUGCAUGCCAUUUGCUGGGUUAAACUAACUGCAAAACUGUUAAAUUAUUUUUGCUUCCAUUUUAUUGCUUAACCUCCAGGGUAAACUUCAGGCUACCUGAUAAAGCAGCCGCUCAGGAACUUUAAACUUUACAUGCUUUGCCCCACAGGGCCGAAGCUGACUCCGGUAUUAAAGGUACAUUUUUCAAACAUAAUUUUAGAUUUGGAAAUUGAUUGUGUCUUGACCUACUUAUUUCCAAGAGCUGUUCAUUCCCGACUCCUUUGUUUUGCUCAUAUUAUAAAUCCAUUGUUCUUUCAGGAGGGCUCCCAGCUGAAAAGGGGUGGGGUGGGGGGAAUCAAUGUGGUGAAGACAGGUUCAUUCUGCCACAGCAAUGCUAUCAUUUGAAUCAAAUCCACAAUUAACUGGACUCAGGCUACAGCAAAGACAAGCCGUGAUCUCUGAGCAACUGUUUCCUACAGAGGUCGGGAGCCAAGUAGACGUCUGGCUUAUAAAGAUUAUGUUUGAAGGGAGAGGGAUCCCAUAAAAUAUUUACCGACUUAUUUUAUGGGGCAUCAGAGAGUUCAUUUGGAUUUCUCUUUUGGUCAGAUAGCUUCCCAAAUAAUACUGUUUAGGCAUCUAGCUUUUCAUGUACUGUAGCAUAUUGGCAGGCAGACCCUUGAAAAAAAACCGUGCUAUUUAGUGACAAUGCUUUCUUUUCUUGGUCUUUUUUCAAAACCUGAAAAUCACCCGGGGUUAAUACGAAGGGCUUGUGAAUGGAUAAAGUGUCUUUUAACCUUGGCCAUCGUAGGUUAGAUCUCUCUCCCCAUCUCUCUCUCUCUCCUUGGCUUGACCACGUGCUCCUCUGAGGCACUCCUUGGGGCUUGUCUUCUGCCCUUUCUUGGUCCUUGCCCCCCACUCUCCAUCCUUCCUUUUGAUGAGUCUGUGGCUUCAUAAUAGCCUCACAAUCCCUAUCCUUUAUCUAUUGGCCAACCCUUUAUUUCUGCUCCUUGUUAUCUCCCCUGGGACAAUGGUGGCAGCUUUCCCAUGAGCCUUUCUUCCAGUUUUGGUCCUUGUAACCUGUUAUCCACAGCAGUGGUCAGCACUAGCUUUCUCUUAAAGAGUAAACACACAUCCAGUCCUAUCAGGUCCCAAAGCAUCCCUCUAGUCUCAUCUCUCAUCUCUCCACUGGACCCUUCACCUCCUUGAGACCCGCCAAACCUCUGGUUCCAAUCAAAUGGCGCUUCCUGUUUUCCACAUCCACCCGGUCCUUCCAACGGAUUCCAUUGGUACCUUCGCCAGAGAGAUUACACUGGAGAGUGACUGCCGUGGAUUUAAGAGUAAAGACAAAGGAAACACCGUGGGUAGACCAUUUUACUGUUUCAAAUAAUCUGCAUGACAAAAGAAGAAAAGAGAGGGUUUAGGAAGGAUUUCUUUUUUUCAAGCAUCUGAAGUUUUAAUAAGUGUUGCUUCUAAGACAUUAAUGUAGGAAGGAUAUUUUUAACAUUUGUUUAUGCAUACUGGUCAUUUCAGUGUUUUCUUUUGAGAAUAGCUUGUUCCUAUCCUUUGUCAUUAAAAAAACCAAAUCAUCCUUUUUUAUUGAUUUCUGGGAACUCUUUGUAUAUUUUGGAUAUUAUCCUAUUGAAUUCUUUUUCUUUCCUUUAAAAUUUUUUUUUGUGGCAAAACACACCACAUCACAUAAAAUUUAUGAGUUUAACCAUUUUUAAGUAUACAGUUCAGUAUCAUCACAUGCAUUCCCACUGAUGUACAACUAUCAGUACUACCCAGCUCCAGAACUUUGUAAUCUUCUUUACACUGAAACUUGGUUCCCAUCAAGCAAUAACUCCCCAUCCCCCUUUCCCCUGAGCCUUGACAACCAUUGUUCUACUUUCUAUCUCUAUGAAUUUAACUAUUCUAAAUAUCUCAUGUAAGUGGAAUUGUAUAGUAUUUGUCCUUCUGUGACUGGCUUAUUUGACACAGUAUAGUGUCCUCAAGGUUCACCUAUGUUGUAGUACAUGUCAGAAUUUCUUUCUGGAGUUCCCGUUGUGGUGCAGUGGUUAACGAAUCCGACUUGGAACCAUGAGGCUGCGGGUUUGGUCCCUGGCCUUGCUCAGUGGGUUAACGAUCCGGCGUUGCCGUGAGCUGUGGUGUAGGUUGUGGACACGGCUCAGAUCCCGCAUUGCUGUGGCUCUGGCAUAGGCCGGUGGCUACAGUUCCGAUUCGACCCCUAGCCUGGGAACCUCCAUAUGCCGUGGGAGCAGCCCCAAAGAAAUAGC
Molecule: long non-coding RNA, 4194 nt
Filed under: Sus scrofa (pig)
Lineage: Eukaryota; Metazoa; Chordata; Mammalia; Artiodactyla; Suidae
Description: lncRNA (ENSSSCG00000060982.1)
Source: RNAcentral